This 1989-nucleotide ribosomal RNA is filed under the name Triticum aestivum (bread wheat). RNAcentral describes it as "partial small subunit ribosomal RNA". Lineage: Eukaryota; Viridiplantae; Streptophyta; Magnoliopsida; Poales; Poaceae. The record is from RNAcentral.
AUGGACAGCCGGAAUCAGGCGCCGCAGAAGUCCAGCAGCUUCUCGUCGGCCUCCAGCAACAAGGCCCGGGAGGUCGACCGCAACCUCUCCCUCGGCACCCUCCGGCAUGGCGACCACGACCGGAGGGGCUCCGCCGGCGCCACCUGGGAGCAGAUCAAGGAGGAGUGCGAGGACGACGAGGAGGACGGCUGCGGCGACCCGGGCGUGUCCGAGUUGUCGGGGGAGAUCGACGCGUUUAUCGUGGGCCGGGAUGGCCAAGCGCCGCUGAGCCUCCCGGAGGCGACGCUCGAGAAGUUCGCCGCCGCCGUCGAGCUGCAGAUCGCGCAGACGGAGAACUCGCGGGAUAAGUGGGCUAAGGGCGAGCCGCCGGUGCUCGCGGCCAUCGCGCGCAUUUCGGCCCUCGCGUCCGCGCUCGCCAAGAACCCGGAGGCCAGCAGCAAGUACGCCUCCGGCGCGCACCGGGUCACCGCCGUGCUGCAGCGUGCGAUGGCGUUCCUCGAGGACGAGUUCCACGCGCUGCUCGAGCCCAAGUCGGACACCUGCAAGUUGAUAAGACGGCCGCCUUCGUUCGAGCAAGGCGGACACGAGGCCGACCGGUGCGUCCUCCGACCACCCGACACCGCCCCUGCAGCGGCGGAGCCCAAACCGCCGUACACGCCGGAGACCGUGGAGCGGCUCCGGUCCAUCGCCGACCUCAUGGUGGCCGCCGGGUACGUAACGGAGUGCACGCAGAUGUUGCUGGUGGCACGCCGGAACGCGUUCGACGCGUCGGUGCGCGCGCUCGGGUACGAGAAGGCAAGCAUCGACGACGUCGUGCGGAUGACGUGGGAGGCGCUGGAGACCGAGAUUGUGACGUGGAUCAAGGCGUUCAGGCACGCCAUCAACGUGGGCCUCUCCACGGAGCACGACCUCUGCGGCCGCGUCUUCAGCGGCCGCCACGCCAGCGUCGGCAGAGGCGUCUUCGCCGACCUGGCCCGAUGCAUCAUGCUCCACAUGCUCAACUUCACGGAGGCCGUGGCCAUGACACGCCGCUCCGCCGAGAAGCUCUUCAAGGUGCUCGACAUGUACGAGGCCGUCCGCGACUCAUCUCCGGUCAUCGACGCCUUCCUGUCCGCCUCCGCCUCCGACGAACCCGCGGCCGGCAACGCCCUGGCGGACCUCAAGACCGAGAUCGCGGCCGCACGUUCCCGGAUCGGCGAGUCGGCGGCCAGCAUCUUCUGCGAGCUGGAGAGCUCCAUCCGCGCGGACGCCGGCAAGCAGCCGGUCCCCGGCGGCGCCGUGCACCCGCUGACCCGCUACGUGAUGAACUACCUCAAGUACACGUGCGAGUACAACAGCACGCUCGAGCAGGUGUUCCGGGAGCACCGGCGGAGCGACGCCGUGGACGGGGAGGACAACAACCCGUUCGCGGCGCAGCUGAUGGAGGUGAUGGAGCUCCUCCAGGGGAACCUGGAAGGGAAGUCGCGGCUGUACAAGGACCCGGCCCUGAGCAGCAUCUUCCUGAUGAACAACGGGCGGUACAUGCUGCAGAAGAUCCGGGGGUCGCCGGAGACGAACGCGAUGCUGGGCGAGACUUGGGCGCGGAAGCAGUCGACGAAUCUGCGGCAGUACCACAAGAACUACCAGCGGGAGACGUGGAACCGGGUGCUGACCCUGCUCCGCGAUGACGGCGUGCUGACCGUGAAGGGCCAUGUGCAGAAGACGCUGCUCAAGGAACGGUUCAAGCAGUUCAACUCCGCCAUGGACGAUAUCCAAAAGACGCAGGGGGCGUGGGUGGUAAGCGACGAGCAGCUGCAGUCGGAGCUCCGGGUUUCCAUCGCCGCCGUGGUGGUGCCGGCGUACCGGUCGUUCCUGGGGCGGUUCGCGCAGACAUUCAGCGCCGGGAGGCAGGCGGAGAAGUACGUGAAGCUGAGCGCGGAGGACCUGGAGGGGAUCAUCGACGAGCUCUUCGACGGUAACCCCUCGUCCAUGAGUAGGAGGAGGACAUGA